GGAAGUAAAAUAUAUGUUAUCGCUGCUAACGAUAGUUUAGAAUUAUGUUGUGUAAUUCUACUUUCU
This 66-nucleotide transfer RNA is filed under the name Schmidtea mediterranea. RNAcentral's name for it is "tRNA-Ser". The record is from RNAcentral. Lineage: Eukaryota; Metazoa; Platyhelminthes; Tricladida; Dugesiidae.